GUUGAGAGGAGCGCACCGGAGAAAGAACACACGAGCUGCGGGACAGUGAGAGGAACACACUGGUAGAAGAGCACACAGGCAGCUGGAUGUCGAGAGGAGCGGAAGAGCACAGCGACAGGCACUGGUGUCGACCAGCGGAACGACGUGGAGUUUGGCCUGGGAGGUCAGAGAAGAAUUUGGCUGCUGGGCAGCCCCACUAUAGGGGAAAACCACCUUCCCACUCCAUUCCCCUUCUGAUCUCCCCAUCCACCUCGCUGAGAGCUACCACAACUCAAUAAAAAACCUAGCACUCGAUCUCCAAGCCCACAUGUGAUCCAAUUUUUCCCGUGCACUAAAGCAAGAACCUGGGAUACAGAAAGCCGUCUGUCCUUGUGAUAAGGCAGAGGGUCUAAUUGAGCUGAUUAACACAAGCCACCUGCGGACAGCUAAGCUGAAAAAGCAUCCUGUAACACACGCCCACUGGGGCCUCAGGAGGUGUAAACAUUCACCCCGAGAGGCUGCAUGGGUCCGCGCCCAUGGUCCCCAUGACUUGCCUGUUUGCCUGCUCUGGCUAAGGGUCUUGACCAGUGGGGCACUGAAGAAGCGAGCCACACCUCCAUCGUACGCCCUGCGAGGAGGGGUCUCACUCAGUGACCCAGGCUGAAUGCAGUGGAACAAUCAUGGCUUACUGUAGCCUUGACCUUGAGGGCUUAAGCAAUCCUGCCACCUCAGCCUGCCUAGUACUGGGACUACAGGUACGCGCCACCACGCCCAGGCUGGAGUGCAAUGACAUGAUCUCGGCUCACUGCAACCUCUGCCUCCUGGAUUUAAGCAAUUCUGCUGCCUCAGCCUCCCGAGUAGCUGGGAUUACAGGUAUGCACCACCAUGCCCGGCUAAUUUUGUAUUUUUAGUAGAAACGGGGUUUCACCAUGUUGGUCAGGCUGUUCUUGAGCUCGUGAUCUCAGGUGAUCCAUCUGCCUCUGCCUCCCAAAGUGCUGGGAUUACAGGUGUGAGUCACCGUGCCCAGCCGAUCAUUUUGUUUAAGUUUAGAAUUGUUAGAGGUGAUGUACCUAGGUCAACAAUCGAUGUGUAAACUAUGCCAUCAACACUAUACAGGCUUCAGAAUGGAGACUAUACUAGGCAUAAGGAAGUGGUCUAUUUGGAUGGCUAUACGUAUCAGCUGGACAGAGAGAACUAUACAGCCAAGAAAGAAAGGUGGCCAACUAAAGAGAAUACCUAUGGGGGCCAGAAACCCUUCAGAUUACAACUUAGCUUUAGUCAGAAAUGUUACCUCAAUCCAGCCCAAGAGUUCUUAUAAAAUGACCAUGUAUUUCUGUUGUAGGGAUAGGAAUAGGUUACCUACUGUGUGGUAGCUUAUAUUAGUGUUCAAAAAAUAAUCACUCUUCUCCCUACGUACUUCUUCAUAGGCAAAGUGUAGUGCUCACCCUCACUGAUAGUGAGUUUUGUUUUGUGCUUUGGUUUGGCCAAUGGUAUGUGGGCAGAAGAGACAGCAUAUACCAGUUAUGAGCCCAGGUAUUACAUAUUUGUUUUACUUACUUGCUUGUUGUUCCCAACUUCUGCAAUGAGUAGAUGUCCAAAGUAGCUUUUAUUCCUUAAGUUUAGGCCCAUAAGAAAAUACAUGAAGCUGACUCACAGCCUGAAACAAAGGUGAAUUGAACCACAGCCAGAAGCAGAGCUUCUCCAGCCAAUCUGUGUAAUUGUUUAUGCCACUGAGAUUUUAUAUAUGUUUGUAGUUGUUGUUACACAGCAAUAGUUAACCUAUAUACCCAGAGACAAUGACCUUAAUGUAUUUUUCUCAUGUUUGAUCAAAGACUAAGAAGAUGGUGUGAGAUGUUCAAGAAAUAGUAUAAAUGUAGCACACCUUCUACACUGCACUGCUGUUGACUGAUAUUUUCUAAUGCCAUGAUUAGAACUUCUUGCAUAUUGGAGGCAUUCAGUCUGUUACCUAUACCUCGUUUUAUGUUAUUGAUAUUAUAAUGAUUUCUUCAAUAGUACGUUCUCAGCCCAGGAUCUAAACUUAGGAAAUUGUCGUGGAUUUUUCAAGGGUCAAGUUGAAAAGAAGAGAUUCUAGAGAAGAGAUUACCAUUCUUUCUGAAUAUAAGAGGGAUCCUUUGACUGAAAAUUCUUUAAAGAAAGAGAGCCAAAAGUUUCCCUACCAGCAAGAGGAGAGAAUAAAUAAUUUAGUAAUUUCCAUGAAAUAACAUGUUAGCCUUAACUCCUAGGCCUUGAUAUACUUGAGAGAGUCAAAUACAUACCUAAGGCACAGUCUUAACAAGGCCUAUGCAGGCCCAAGUAUGACAGUUUAAGUAAGUCAUGAUAUCCUCUUGGUUAGAACCUUUAAUGGCCUCCAAUUGUGUUAAAAGAGAAGAAAAAGGGAGCCCCUUUACUUGGCUAUCAAAGCCCUGCAACACCUGGCCCCUGCCAGCUUUUCGUACUUUAUCACUAAGCAACCAUUUCCUCCAGUUCUCAUUAUGCUUCAACCUAAUUGUCUUUAUUUGUAUUCCUCAAAAAUUAACAAGCUUUUUCUCACCUCCAGGAUGUCAUCCUUAUUGUUCUGUUUGUCUCAACUGAUCUUCCCCCAGAGCUCUUCAUAUGACUGGCUGAUUCUUAUUCUUUAAACCCAGUUCAAAUAUCAUCUUCUAAGAGAUGCCUUCCUUGCUAUACCAUCUAAUGAGACCUUCUCCAAUUUCAUCCUGCAUUUAAAAAAAAAUUUAUUUAUUUGUAUUUGAUUAGUUUUGAGAGAGGGUCUCAUCCUUUUGCCCAGGCUGGAAGGUAUGUAGCUCACUGCAGCCUUAACCUCCUGAGCUCAAGUCAUACUCACACCUCCCAGAGUGCUCAAGUCACGCUCAGCCUCCCAGAGUGCUGAGAUUACAGGCAUGAGCCUCAGACCUAGCCUACACCCAACCUCUUACCUUGUCCAUUCCCUACUAGUAUAUAAUAAAAUAGGCAAUUACUUUGUUUAUUUUUAAAUGUGCUUACUGCCUGUCUCCCUUAUUAAAAUAUAAUGUAAGAAGAAUGAUAUGUCUUAUUUAUUGAUAAUUGAUAGAUGGAUAUCAUAAGAUGGCAUACUUCAACUUAAAAUUAAGAAAUUAAGAAGAUGUUUAUUUCAUUGGGGCUCUCCUACAUCCAUGAAUUCCUCAUUGAUACACAUGUUAAAUUAUAGUCGAUGAUUUAUAUAUUCACUGAGAGCAAGAAUCACACUUUCAGCAUAUUAGCAGUCCAUGUAACAAGUCACCUCAAAAUUUAGUGUCUGAGAACAACGAACAUUUAUUAUGUCUGGGUUGCUGUGGGUCAGAAAUCUCGAGGCAGCUUGGGUCGCUCUGACUCUCAGUCUGUCAUUUGUAACCAAGCUUUCAGACGGAUGGUUAGUUUUCUUAGGACUGGGUUGGCAUUGAAUGAUUCACUUCGAAGCUCACUCACGUGAUUGUUGUCAGUCUUCAGUUCUUCAAGGGCUCCUGGACCUCUUCACAGGGCUACAUGAAGCUCUCCGUAGGGCUCUUCACACAUGGCAAUUUGUUUUUCCCAGUCUGAGAAAUGGGGCACAGAAUGUGACAGGGGACUCUGACAGUGAGAACAGUCCUUGCCUUUUUUUUUUAUUCCACAGGUUCAGAUAUACCACAGGUUAAAUUAUGUCUAAAACAUAUUUGUAAUGCACAGUGAAAUCACACCUAUGGUUGAUUACAGAGAGAGAGAGAGAGAGAGACUUUCUGUAUCCUAAUCUCAGAACUGACAUUCUUUCACAUUUGCCAAAUUAGAAGCUAGUACUUGCAUUCCCUUGAAUGUUAAAGGGAAUGAUAUUACAAAAGGCAUCAAGAUCAGGAGGCUAGGAUCAUCUUAGAAGCUGCCUUCCACAAUCAAGAGUAUUCUGGUGUUGGUUAGCAGCUUAUCCUGGAUUAACUCUAAAUUUCAUUCAGUGCUAGUAUUUUUCUAUUAAAUUUGUCAUUACAAUACUUGGAACACCAAAAAGAUAUGGUGAUUAUUUGUGAGGCACAUUUUCAAUGCAACCCCUGCUCUAGUAGAGUCAAUUGAAUGCAGGAAGACUGAAGAAUCCAAAUAUGCCAGUCACUUUCAGUUAUAUAUUCAUUCACUGAACAAAUGCUGGCUAUGUAUCUACCAUGCCAGGAACAUGUUAAAUUAUGCAAAUAUACUGAAGAAGAAAAAAGUGUCUGUCUUCAUGGAACUUAACUACAGUGGAGAAUAACCAUGUUAUAACCACAAUAAUCAAAUGUUUAACUGCAUUUAAACUUUGCUGGAUAAUGCCAAUAGAAUACUUUUUUUUUUAACUCCACAGAUUCCACUCUAAUGCAGAGUGGAAUCACAGGUAUGCUUGGUUAACUUAUAAGUAAGUGUUUAAGGCUUUCCUCAACAUUCACAUUAUAAAGAUGUUACGCUGUAUCAUUAUUUGUUGCGUUGAUAAACCAACAGCAAAACAAGCUGUGCUAGAUAACAUUGCCUUCAUAUUGGUUUGUGACUAAAUGUUGUUUGAUGGACUAUGAAUCUCAGUUCAUGGAUUAAAGGUAUGACAACAUCAAAUAGCUCUGAGGCUUACAUAAAGCAUCAUCAAAAUUCAUAGUAAACACAGCAGGAGAGACUACAGAUAUGUAGAAAUUCAUUGUCAAGAAAGUAUUGCCAUUUUGCAUGAAAUUGAUAAGGCCUAUAUAACCAGAUCAAGGUAAAGCUCUUUCCAUCUCCUUAAUAUUUUUUAAAGCUUACAAUAUGUGAGGAAGGAAAAAAAAAUCUUCAGACAUAGAAUUAUGAAUCACGGAGUUAUUCAGCAGACGGCCUAUAUAGUUUGUUGACUUAUAACAUAUAACUUUGUAAAUUUCAGAGUAUGUUAUUUCUUAUCAUCAUUGCUUGGGCCGUCUUUUUUCCUGGCCAAUUUUCCAGGAGUAUUCCCAGAAGAAUAGAAUGAAACUAGCCUGCUUGAACUUUUUCUGUGAUGUGUUUGACAGAAAACAACUUUUGUCUUUCAAAGGAAGGUAAACAAUUGCUGAGGGAUUGAACCUGUUUCCAGGCUCAUUACUACGCAUAUUAAGGACUGAAAGAAUGACCGAGGAAAUCUUUCAAUUGCUUGUAUUUUGAAUACAAGUUGCCUUCAUUUUUUAAAAAGUUUAAUGACUUGGGAUUUCAUUUCCACCAAAUAAUGAAGCCGGUGCAGGACUGCAAAUUGUGUCUUGGAUGUUGCCAUGCACUGCUGCACUUGAUAGAUAAUUUAUUCAGAGUCCUGGAAGAAAGCUUUUUAAAAAUAACUGACAUUGAGGAUGCCAAUAAACAUUGAUGCCAUGCGCGUGCCAGCUGUGAAAUCAUUAGUAGGUGAAACACCCUACCGUGCAAACAGCUUCAAACUGAUUUGAGGGAUGUAUUUUAGCCAAAGGCAUAAAUGAAUUCAUGAAUUUGCCCUACUUACUGUUCUCUGUCUCAGUUCUGUCUUUUAAAAUUUUUAUUUAUUUAUUUCUUGUAUUCAUUUAGGUUGGUGGAUAUAGCAUCUGAAUAGGCAGAGUGCUCUAUUUUUUUCUUGAUGAAAAGGGAAUUGCUAUUACAGUCUGUUAUCCAAAAAUUACCAUAACAAAUCUGCCCUUCCAAUUAGCUGGUGCAUGGAAAGAUUAGUUGAAAUUUGGCCUGGAACUUUUUAUUAAGACUAAAUAGGAAACCAUGUGUAUAUAUUGGUAUUAGUUUGUGUUAUGAGACACAUAGACACACAUAUUUUAUUUCUGCUAUAAACAAUUACGAGAAAUAAUUAGGUUGCUCUAUAUAUCCACAGAGAACAAAAAUAGGACCUAUGGAUACAGACUAAAAUAACUCAUUUUGAAUAAUGGAGAAUUUUCUAAUGAUAUAGCUGGCUGAAGAGAGGGUUUUGUUCUCUUUUUUUGUUUGUUUGCUUUCCCAUAGCUAGUAAGUUUCCUGUCCCUGAAAUAAAUAGAUGCUGGAUACCUACUUGGUAGCAAUGGUGUACUGAUAAUGUAGGCUUCAAAUAGCAGGAAUAUUCUGCCAGAAGAAUUCAAAGAUAUUUUUCAACCUUUUGGUUUCUAUCAUUUUUCUGCAUAGAAAAUUUCUCCAGGCUAAUUCUAGCUUUAUAAUAUGAGGAGAGGUAAACUGAAAUAUGAGAGAGAAAAGUGCAACAUAGAAUUUCCGACACUGUAAUUGGGAAUAUUUAGUUUCCUCUUUUUAAAUUAAAAGUCCUUUGGAACAAAAAACACUGGAAAAGCCGCUAUGAAUUUGGGCCUUUUGGUUGAUUUUUGCAAUAAUCAUUCAACAUCAUCUUUAUUUUUACUUAAUUAUGAUAUCUCUUCCUUCUCUUCUUUUGCAUGUCUUUUCAAAAGUAUCCAAGUAAGCAAAUAAAAAUUUUAAGAUUAUUUUUGUGGAACCACAAUAUCAUCAGCUAAAUGUAACCAAUUUCACAAUUCGUAGUAUAAUUAGCAUUCUAUUAUAUUGAAUGACUUCUUAAAACAUUUCUUAACAUAUUACAUUCAUCUGAUUUAACUAACAAGUUGCAACAUGUAGAUUUGCUGAAAUUUGACCUUUUUGAGUUAAAAAUAUGCCAACUUCAUAUAUGUUAUGUUGUAGUAACAAAUAAGAUAUUACUGGUAUAAGACAGUUUUUUCCUUACACAAAGACUGACAAAGAACAUUGGGGUUUCUCUUGCAGGCUCUGCAAUUCUGUAUUCUCAAUAGCAGACCAUUAUUCUCAACAGCCAUGGAAAAGGCAAGGUGUAGAUAGUAAAGUAGCUCUUACAUUACUCAGCUUAGAAAUAGAACAUGCUAUUUCUGUUCAUAGCUUAGCCAAAACUGGUGCCAUUGUCUCAUCAAAAUUGCAAGUAAUGUCAGGAAAUGCAGGCAAGGGAGCACCACAGUUUCAGUUUUGUAGGUCUAAUAUAUGUCAUAAAUUUCAUGCUACAUACCACUGCUAUUGAUGCUUUUUUCCUGAUGGAACCCCGACUCCCUGAUAAACACAUUCAUAGGUACAUGCUAUUAUUCUCUUAGUGUUGCAGAUGGAGAAACUUGGGACAGAGAUAACCAAGGUACUAUCUUAUAAGUGAUGGAGCCAGGAUUCAACCCCAAACUGUCCAGCAAAUGGUAGUCUGCAAUCCAACAUGAAUUUAUUAAAAGCCAUGUUAUGUUGUAGAGAGGAGAGUGUAGGGAGCUGCAUGUAAAAUGACCUGGACUUAAGUCUUAGCUUUAUCACCAAUUAGUGACUCUAAAACCCAUUGAAGAAUUCUUUCUACUACUUCUCUCAUCGGUGUAACAAUUGAGGGAUAUUAGGUGAUCUUUAAUAUUUUUCAUCUUAAAAAUGCUAUAAAUUUACUGGACUAGGCUAGUAAAUUUUUUUCUCCCCCAAAUUGCACCUCCAUCCACAGAAAUUUAAAGGGGUAGCUGAUGUCCACAAACACUCUGGUAUGCAGGCUCUAAAGUUACAGUCUGUGCAAUUGAAUCCAGACUCUUACUUGCCUGUGGUAGGCAGAGUAAUGGCCCCACGAAGAUGUCCACGUCUUAAUUCCUGGAACCCGUGAAUAUGUUAUGUGGCAAAACGACUUUGUAUAUGUUAUUAAGGAUCUUGAAAUGAGGAGGAUAAGUCCAACAUAAGGACAAAGAACCUUAUAAGAGAAAGAGGGAGGUGGAAGAGUCAGAGUCAGGGAAGGAGAUGUGAUGAUGUAAUCAGUGGUAGGAGGAAUGCAGAGUCAAGAGCCAAGGGAUGGGGCAGCUUCUGGAAGCUGCAAAAGCAAGUAAAUGAAUUAUUUCCUUCAGCUUCCUCUGAUCCAUUUUGGAUUUGAAACCUCCAACAUUUUAAGAUAAGACAUUUGCAUUGUUUUAAGCCAUUAAGUUUGUGGUGACUUGUUAUAGUUUUAAUCCAAAGCUUAUUCAUUGCCUAAUAUUAUCCUACCCCAUGACUCAUUCCAGGGCUAUCUUCUCUUUUCUGUCUAUGUGCUUUCCCUUAGUGAUAACGUCAACUAUCACAACUAUCAAUGCCAUUUCUAUGAAGUUGAACACUUCUUCUAGCCCAGGAUUUUAUGUCCAGCUUUCUAGUUUAUACCUCGUCAAUGCUGAUACUCAAAUUAGAUUACACAUGGCCAAAAUACUCUUCUCCUCCCAGGACUCCUUGUCUCAGAAAAUGAAACAGCUGUCUUCUCAGUUGCUAAAGCCAGUUAUUUAAGAAUUAUUCACAAUUCUGCUUUUCCUACCAUCCGCUAUCUAACUAAAUUUGCAAGUUCUACAAUGUUAUCUCCAAAAUGUGUCCCUUCCUUUUUGUUUUACUGGGCUCAGCCCUGAUUAUUUUUUGUCUGAGCUUCCACAGUAGGCUUACUCACAGGUCUCCCUGAUUCCACCCCUGCCCCAUUCUGAUCCAUUCCACGUACAGUAUUUUGAGUGAUCUUUAUUUUUUUAAUGUUAUGCCAAAUUAUGUCACAACUAUGUUUAAAAUUAUCUAAUGGCUCCUCAUCCUUCUAAAACAAACCCCUAGCCAGUUACCCUGGUAUAUCUGGACCUUUCCUAAGUACCAAAUUAUCUAUUCUAUUUUAGUAUCAGUUUGUUCUUCAACAUCACACUAUAAACCCAUUGGUCUUCUUUAUGUUGUUCCUGGAGCCCUCUGACUCUGAAUUUAUUCCUACUUAGGGUCUUGGUAUUGCUCUUUCUCUAUUGAAAUGUCCUUUCUCCUUUUCUGAAGAUACAGCUUGUUCUUUUCAGGUAUGAUUUCUCAGCUUAUCUACUCCUCUUUUUUUGCACUUGUAUUUAUAAUCUCUGUUUAGGUUCCUUGGCUGUCUGAGGGCUACUCUCACUGGUGCCUUCGGAACACCUGAGCAAGAACUUUAAUUAGCUGCCUCUCUGUUUCUUUAGACAAACAUUUUCUCCGUUCCCAUGGUUGAGGAUACACUGGUUCUGACAGUAAUGCUGGGCUUUUUCUUUUUCCUUUUUUUUCUGUUUGAGGUUUUUUAUUAUUAUUAUUAUACUUUAGGUUCUAGGGUACAUGUGCACAUGUACAAACGUGAAGGUUUGUUACAUUUGUAUACAUGUGCCAUGUUGGUGUGCUGCACCCAUUAACUUGUCAUUUACAUUAAGUAUAUCUCCUAAUGCUACCCCUCCCCAGUGCUGGGCUUUUUCUACCAACAAACAGCUCUUCCUCUUCUUCUCUGAUUUGUACUCUGUUUUUCCAUGUGAAACAUCAUACCGAAGGUCGAACAUGUCUAGGAAUACUGCCUCCUUUAGGGAGAGGAGACACAAAUCAUGUACUUUCUAGUCUACAGUAUCCAUAUUGUCUCUCAUAGAUAUUGCAUUCUCUUGUUUUCCAUUUUUCAAAUACUAAUCAGUAUUUGGUAUUUUCUUCUUUGUAUAUUGAUUUGUCUAUCUCACUCUCACUCUGUCACAAUAUUGUAGGCUUCAGGAAGCAAGGACAUUGUCUUGUUUAAUGUUGUAUUCUCUGUGACUGACAUAGUGCUUAGCACAUUAAAUAUUUGUUAAGUAGAUAUAUAAGUUUGGUAAUUGGUGACCAGGCUUCCCAUAAAUUCAGUUGUAUCAGAAUUUUACAACCGAAGUGGGGAGGGGAUGCCCUAUUCAAUGAAUGAUGCUGGGAUAACUAGCUGUCAAUAUGUAGAAGAAUGAACCUGGACCGCUACCUUUCAAAAUAUACAAAAAUUAACUCAAAAUGGAAUAAAGAUUUAAAUAUAAGACCUUAAAUUAUAAAAAAAAAUCCUGCAAGAAAACUUAGGAAAUACUAUUCUGGACAUAAACCUUGGAAAAUAAUUUAUGACUAAGUCCUCAAAAGCAAUUGCAACAAAAACUAAAGAGCUUCUGCACAGCAAAAGAAACUAUCAACACACUCAAAAAGACACCCUACAGAAUAGGAGAAAAUAUUCACAAACUAUGCAUCUGACAAAGGUCUAAUAUCCACAGUCUAAAAGGAAUUUUAAUAAUUCAACAAGCAAAACACAAAUAACCCCAUUAAAAAGUUGGCAAAAGACAUGAACGGGCACUUCUCAAAAGAAGACAUACAAGAGGCCAACAGAUAUGAAGAAAAAAUGUUCAGCAUCACUAAUCAUCAGAGAAAUGCAAAUGAAAACUACAGUGAAAUACCAUCUCACUCUAGUCAGAACAGCUCUUAUUAAAAAGUCAAAACAUUCUAGACGCUGGCAAGGCUGUGGAGAAAAGGCAACACUUAUACACUGUUGGUGGGGAUUGAAAUUAGUUAAGCCACGGUAGAGAUCAGUUUGAAAAUUUCUCUAGGAACCUAAAAUGAAACUACCAUUCAACCCAGCAAUCCCAUUACUGCCUAUAUUCCCAAAGGAAAAUAAAUUGUUCUAACAAAAAGACGCUUGCACUUAUAUGUUCACUGCAGCACUAUGCACAAUAGCAGACACGUGGCAUUAACAGAGGUGCCCAUCAACAGUGAGUUGGAUAAAAGAAAAUAUAUAUUCACCUUUAAAUACUAGGCAGCCAUAAAAAGAAUGAAAUCACAUCUUUUGCACAAACAUGGAUGCAGUUGGAGACCACUAUCCUAAGUGAAUUAACACAGAAACAGAAAACCAAAUACUGCAUGUUCUCAUUUAUAAGCAGGAGCUAACCACUGGAAACACAUGAAUAUAAAGAUGGCAACAACAGACACUGGGGACUACUUGGAACAAGGGCUAAAAAGCUACCUAUCGAAUACUAUGCUUAUUACCCGGGUGAUAGGACCAUUCAUACCCCAAACCUCAACUUUAUGCAAUAUACCCAUGUAACAAAGCUGCGUGUGUACCCCCGAAUCUAAAAUAAAAGUUGGAAUUAUUUUUAAAAAACAGGAAAUAAGUUCAAGGGAUCUAUUGCACAGUAUGGUGACUAUAUUUAAUGAUGUUAUAUUGUAUUCCUGAAAAAUGCUAAGAGAGUGGAUAUUAAGUGUUCUCACCACAAAAAUAACUAUGUGAGAUAAUACACAUAUUAAUUAGCUAAAUUUAACCAUUCCACAAUGUAUAUAUACUUUAAAAAAUCAUGUUGUACACAAUAAAUGCAUAUAAUUUUAUAUGUCAAUUUAAAUAAUUUUUUUAAUUAAAGGAAAAGAAGAAUUGUACAACUGAAAGAGGAUAAGCAAGUUGUUUUGUUCAUGGGUACUCAACAACAGAUUGUGGGGAUAAAAGGUCCCAUGGACUUUCUCAGUAAUUAUUAGUUUUCCAGCCAAGCCUUAUAGAACUUGCAUAUAAUCUUUAGAGAGAGGGAAGCUGCCUGGAGAAAAUAAGAAAAUCUUCAUUUUAGUUUUGAGAGUGAGGGCCAAUCUGUAUAUCUGUGAAAUAUAAAGGCAAAUGUUAAUAACUUUGUGCCUAAUUUGACAUAAAAAUGGGAUUAGGCACUCUUCUUGAGUCUAAGUUAAACAAUUUGAUAAGGUGGGCACAUUAACGGUUGCUUUAUUGGUAAAUUUGGAGAAGUCAUACUUGCGGUUAAUUACAGUGUGAUUGCUGAGGAUUACACUGUGAGCAGCAAGAAAAUACAGAUGGAAGUGAACAAGACAGCCACACAACAUGGCAUAAAGAAAGAGGUCUGACCACUCAGCCAAACUGUGCUGAUGUGUUGACAUGUUUUAAAACUAUAUUUCACUCUCUGAUUUGUACUUUUGCUUUCAGUACCUUUGAAUAGAGAGAAUAAUAAUAUCUUUUCCUUGGUGCCAUUGCUCUAAUUUACAAAUGAUAUUGUGUAGGAUGAUAACUCAUAUCUUGGUAUCUCAGAUGCUUGAAUAAAUUAUUAUUCUUAUUAAUUUUCUGCCGCUGUAGGAUGCUUUUAUGCUUCUUAUGUAAAUGAUUGACUUGCAUAAUUACAUGCAUGUCUAAGCACUGCUUUUUGAGAGAUGACAUCAAUGAAUUUAAAGAUUUUAUUUUAGAUUGUCUUUCAGAAUUCUUUCAGAUGCCUUCCUGUGUAUAAUUAGCUCUGCUUGUGCUGAACAAAAGUGGGCCAAAUUUAUGCUAAGUAUCAUGACGCUAUUUUUCUUUGACAAUAUAUAGUGAUAUAAAGCAUUUAUAUGUCUGCUCUCUAGUUUUCCAUCAUAAUUUUUCCUCUUCAGAAAGUCGAUGCAUUAUUCUAUUCAUCCUUCAGUCUUUCCACCCACCUACUCACCCAUCCAUUUAUUCAGUCAAACUUUUUGGAGAACUCCCUAUGUAACAGACAUGGAGGUUUGCUCUGGUGAUUUCAAUUAGGAUGACAUGAUCUUGUCAUUGGAGAGGUCACAGGUUGUAGAUGUGAAACACACUAAUGAAUAAUUUGAAAGUGAUGUGAUAAUUGUUUUAAUUAUAUAAAAAGCACUUCACCUAGUUCCUUUCUCCUUAAUGCUUGAAGAGCUUUAUUAGAAUUAAAAAACGAGGAGCCCUUAAUGUUAGACGUUAUUUAGACAUCUAGAAGACUAAAACAUGUUAGAUAAUUUAAAGAAAAUACAGUGUUUGGCUUAUGUUUAUUAAAAUGGGUAUUAACAUUUGGGAGCAAAAAAUAGAAAUUUAUUAUCUUGCUCAGUGCUCUUGUAAGAGCUCAUAAGAUAUGCUUUACACUUUACGACCAUUAUAAUGAGAAAAAGUAAGGGAAGAUUAUUCUAAAGGAGGAAAAGAGAUUGAAGAAAUUUGAUAGUAAAAUGUAUAUUAAAAAGGAAAUGCAACUGAAUAUAGAUGAACUCUAUCAGUAACAAGAAAAUGAUAUCUUUCCAGCUUAAUUUACUUUGGCAAACACUUGCAUGUAUGCAAUGGGAAUAUAAUCUAAACACCUUAUUAGAAUAUGUAUCUCUUUGCUGCAGCUUGCUUUAUCAUAUGCAUAGAUAUAUAAUGCUCCCAGGAAUAAUUUAUGGUUAAAUGUGUUUUAUUACCUGUUACCAAGAAAACCAAAGGGAGAAAUACAUAUUCUUCAGUACUUUGAAUAUAAUUUUUUUAAAAAAAAUAAUGUUCACAUUUAGGAGACUCACUGAUAAUUUACAUUACUUUCUAUUGUAAUCACAUGUGAUGAAAACAAAUUAGGAAAUAUAAGGUAAUUUAAAAAUUUUAGUCUAUUUGCCAUACUUGUAUAAUGUCAUACUGGAAAGUAGUUAAUAAAGUACCGAUACAAAUUGAGAAAUUGUGUGAUUAUGACCCUUAGUCACAUUGAAAAUAUAGUUAAAAUUAUAUUAUGAUCUUAAAAGGACCUAAAAAUGGGGGAAAAAAAGAUAAAAACAAUUCUACCUCUUUUUAGGAGAGUUCAUUUUAAUUAAAUAACAUAAUUUUCUGUUUUAUACAAAAUUUGUAGACUUUGAUUUCUCAGUGCUUUAAAAAUGCAAUGCUUAUUUGAUGUUAAUACUCAUGUGAAAUUUAACUACGCAGAAAUAUCGAUUCACUUACCAUAAUAGAAACAGCCUUUAAUAUUAUCCUACUGUUUUUCUUUUAUUGUUUCUCCGCCAUCCAUCCCACCCAGUUCUUGUCAGAGUGAUCAGAUAUCUAUCAGUCUCUACUUACUUCUACACUUUAGUAGAGGCACUUAUCUAUGGACCAAAUUCUUUAGCACUUCUUUUUGAUGGUCAAUUUACGUGCAUUUUAAAUGCUAAUAAGCAUCUGCUUUCAGCAAUUAGAGUUACCUUAUCAUUGACAGGAGGGAAACAAAAGAAGUCCUUUGAUAGGACAUUUUGUGUAAUAUGCAUAGUUCACUGCCUGGAACCAUUUUAGUUUAUGUUGAUCUGUAAUUAGCAUUAUACAGUUUAAAUUCUGCAUACUGGAAAUAUGUUACAUAACAACAAUUAUUUAAUUUUACAAAUUGACUAAAUUAGUCAAAACAGAGUCUCUCAAGUUAUAGUCCAUACACAGUUUGGACAUUAUGGUAUUAAAAUACUUGGAUUGGUGUAUAUUUUUUUAGAUUUAUUUGAUAAUUUUUAUGUUUGAUUUGGCUUACUACUUGCAUAAGACUAGGUAUAUCUAAUUAUACUAGAUAAUCUAGCUAUACUUCGUUUCAGAUAUCUAAAUAUUUACAUUGCAUUAUUGUAAGAAUAAAGCAUCCUGGGUGUUCAUGUAAUCUAUGUAUUUCAGGUUUUGGAUUAAAAACGGUUUCAAACACUCAAAAAAUUCUUUUAUAUCAAAAACCGUGUUCUCACUUAUUUUUUAUUCUUAAAUUUUAAUCUGUUACUAUGUUUUUAACAAGAAUAAACUACCUUAAAAUCAUGCACCUUUUAGAAAUUUGGUUUCAGAAAUGGUAUUUAUUGGUAACUUUUUGGGAAAAUGCUAUUGUAAAUAUUUUGGUUUUCUCUUGAUCUAUAAAAACUACUCCCAAAACUUGAGGGUUUAAACAGUCAUUUUAUUUUUUCUCUUUUUUGGCGUCAAAAAUUUGGAGAAGGUUUGGCUGAAUGGCCUGAGAUAGAGAAAAGACAGAGAUAGAGAAAUUAGAGAGUUUAUGUGUCAUAAACUGGAGUGCCGGUUCCACAACGCUUUCUCACAUACCUAGGUGUUGGUGGUUACAGCUGGAAGGCUAGACUCAGCUGGACCUCUCUCUUUUAAUGGUCAUUUCAGGUCUCUCCAUAUUGUCUUUUACAUACUAUAUCAGGGCUCCCAGAUACUAAUGAAGAAACUGCUAGUCACUUCAAAGGCUAGCUAGAAUUGACAUUGUGUCAGUUUCGCUACAUUAUUGAACAAAGAAGUUACAUGUUGUCCAAAUUCAGAGGAGUGAAAGAAGAUUACUUUCCUCCAUGGACAGAGUGGCAAAGAAUUUGUGGCAGUCUUUUCUCUCUCUCAACAGGAAAUCUCAAAAGACUUGUCAAGUUAUAAAGUUUGGCAGAAAUUCUGUUAAAUAAAAUCAGCUGAAAUGUGUGUAAUAAAGUAUAGUUAAAAGUAAUUAUCAUACUGUAUAUUUUUUUUUGUCCAGAAACUUUAAACCCAUUUGUUAAGAUUUUGCUUCUUUUAUUUAAUGUGAACAAAAAUAUCACUGGAAAGAGUUAUCUCAUGGGUGUUUAUUAGAGAGUGCAUUCAUGUGCCUCUGGUAUUAUCCUGGCCACUUAUAAAUGCUUAUCAUUAGUCACAUCGACUGGCAAAGUAAUGAUAGCAUAUUUUGACUCUUAUGAGCUCACUAAUGCAUCUCAUAAUAUGUCAAAAUCUUAGUAGUUCCCAUAAUAAAAUUGUAGCUUCUGAAGCUCAAGGGGACCUUAAAGUUCUUUUAGUAAAAGACAACUGAUGCCUAGUUAUCUUUAAAGAAUUUAAGUAAAGAAUAAGUUUUCCUUGUUCCCCCAAAAACAUACAUAUCAAAUGUAGCACAUUUUCUCAAUUAUUAAAGACAAUGAAUUAAUUAUUGUAAAAUUAUCAAAUCUACUCAUAUUCAAGUGCAAUUAUCUGAGCUGUAUUAUACGCUAGGACUUGGAUUUGUACACUACAUACAUUAUCUCAUCUAAAUUUAUAACACUAAAAAAGAUAUGCAUUAUUUUUCCUUUUUUAGGUGACAUUUGAUAUCAUUAAGAUUAUUUAAAUGUUACUGCUGGGAAAUAAUUUUAUGUUAGAGAAAAACACCAUGGAUGAAAAUAAAUUUUAUUUGUAACAGAGAAAAAUGUAAAGAAAAAAAAAAAACAGGCAAUGCUUUGCAACUAUUUUUCUACCUUUCAUCCUGAAAGGACUUUUAAAACAAUAGCAAUAAUAAUAACACUAAAAGAAAAAAUUAAGAUUGAUUCAAUUAUUAGGGAAAAUAUACAUAGCAUUUGCUGCCAGAAAAGGAAAAUCUUAUAGACUACAAUGACCAAAAGAAUCAUAGUUUAAACACAUAUACAAACACACACACACACACACACACACACACACACACACAUACGGUUAGGCUUUGUGUCCCCACCCAAAUCUCAUUUUGAAUGGUAAUCCCCAUAAUUCCCACGUGUCAAAGGAGAGGCCAGGUGGAGGUAAUUGAAUCAUAAGGGCAGUUUUCCCUAUGCUGUUCUUGUGAUGGUGAGUGAGCUAUCAGGAGAUCUAAUAAUUUUAUAAGAGGCUCUUCCUGCAUCUCUCGGCACUUCUCCUUCAUGUCACCAUAUAAACAAAGACAUAAUUGCUUCCCCUACUGCUAUGAUUGUAAGUUUCCCGAAGCCUCCCCAGCUAUGCUGAACUGUGAGUUAAUUAAACUUCUUUAUUUUAUAAAUUACCCAGUCUAAGGCAGUUCUUUAUCGCAGUGUAAAUAUAGACUCACACACACACAUACAUACACACAGAGAGAACUUUAAGAAAACACAAUAGUGCAAAGAAUAAGAACAAGAAGAAAAAAUUAUUGAAUAUACAUGGCCAUCCCUGCCUACACCCACACUGACAUAAGACAUAAUGCUGAAACUUAGAGACUAGAUGAAACUUAUUAAACAGGGACUGCAGAUGAUGUUCCAGUAUCCAUACAAUUAGCCAGAGAGAAAAUACAUUGUGAAUUCAGCAUUAAUUGACACCAUAGCUAUUGUUUUUUCCAAUUACAGCUCAACACCUCUCUAAAUAUAGCUCUCAUUCUUUGCCUAUUUUGUCUAGUUGAGUUAUAAGUAUUGAUUCAAUACCAAUAAGUGGCCACAUUCUAGAACUACUUUAUUAUCUAUUUUUCUUCCCUAAAGUUUUAUUUAUUUAUUUUUCUUCAUAAAGAGCUACUUGCUUAGAGACAGAGGUAAGAAGAGAAAUUGAUAAUAAUAAUGCCAUAAAGCAGGCUUAUGUUUAUUUACCUAGUUAUUACAAUCUUUCCAAAGAUUAUUGCAAGGAGGUAUAUGUAUUUGUUGCUGUGCAUAUUGCUUAAUAUUCUUUUAUAUUGCUUAAUAAUAUCCUUUUGUUGUGCUUAAUAUCAUAUCAUAGACAGCUUUAGAAAUUCUAAAGAUUAGUUACAAUCUAUACUCUUUCCUUUUU
This 16789-nucleotide long non-coding RNA is filed under the name Homo sapiens (human). RNAcentral describes it as "non-protein coding lnc-GBE1-5:8". Lineage: Eukaryota; Metazoa; Chordata; Mammalia; Primates; Hominidae. The record is from RNAcentral.